UACGGGGGGGGCAAGCGUUGUUCGGAAUUACUGGGCGUAAAGGGCGCGCAGGCGGCUUGGCAAGUCGGGUGUGAAAUCCCUUGGCUUAACUAAGGAAUGGCGCUCGAAACUACCUCGCUAGAGGACGGGAGAGGGAAGUGGAACUCUCGGUGUAGGGGUGAAAUCUGUAGAUAUCGAGAGGAACACCGGUGGCGAAGGCGGCUUCCUGGCCCGUAACUGACGCUGAGGCGCGAAAGCGUGGGGAGCAAACAGG
Molecule: ribosomal RNA, 253 nt
Filed under: uncultured bacterium
Lineage: Bacteria
Description: partial 16S ribosomal RNA
Rfam family: Bacterial small subunit ribosomal RNA
Source: RNAcentral